UCUGUGUAGGCAGGCGUGUGUCGUGUGAGAAUAUGCAUUUGCGAGUAGCUUCCCACUUGAUCACUGCUGCUACGCUU
This 77-nucleotide microRNA precursor is filed under the name Petromyzon marinus (sea lamprey). RNAcentral's name for it is "microRNA pma-mir-4552 precursor". The record is from miRBase by way of RNAcentral. Lineage: Eukaryota; Metazoa; Chordata; Hyperoartia; Petromyzontiformes; Petromyzontidae.